CCCCCCCACCCCCACCCCCAUGUGCCGGGCUGGGGGGCAGUGGGGGGGUCAGGGGCGUCCCCCGCCCUGCACAGGGAUGGGACCUGUUUGUUUUCCUUUUGUCCAUAUUUUUUUUCCAGCAGCUGCCGGGUGAGGCCCGUCCACCGCCCACAACAGGAACCGGGGGCACCGGGGCACGGCACGGCCCUGGCUCCCCUGGCAGAGCCGCAGCCGCCCGCCGGGCACCGGCCGGGCUGAGAACAGCCACAGCUCGUGCCAGCGAUGUCAGCCCAGGCCCGGCUACACGGUCAGGUCCCCCCGUGGCGGGGACACGUUGGGGCGACACGGCUCUUCCGCCGCCCCCGCCGGUUGCCCGGGGGCCGGACCCCGUUCCUGCGGCCGGUGGCAGCACCCACCCCGGGGCGGGGGUCCCUUGCGCAGGAGGUGGGCGAGCUCGGCCAGGCUGAGCAGCGCCGAGACCAGCCCCACCACGAAGUAGAAGUGGAUGAAGACGGUUUUCUCGGUGGGGCGGGAGACGAAGCAGUCGACGCGGUGCGGGCAGGGCCGGCGGCGGCAGACGAAGAGCGGCUGCACCCUGAAGCCGUAGAGCAGCGCCUGCCCCAGCAGGAAACCCAGCUCGGCCGCGAUGCGGGCCACCACACUGCCCACGUAGAAGGGCUGGAGGCGACGGGCACGCUGGCCGGGAGCCCCCCCGCCCCCCGGCUUGGCCGCUUGGUGGACGGCGAAGAUGACGAAGAGCGCGGCGGGGGCCGAGAGCACGACGACGUGGAAGACGAGGAAGCGGUAGUGGGAGAUGGGGAAGGCGGCGUCGUAACAGACGGGUUUGCAGCCCGGCUGCUGCGUGUUGCAGACGAACUCUUCUUGCUCGUCCUCGAAGACGUCGCUGCCAACCGUGGCCAGGACCAGGAUGCGGAAGAGGAGCAUCACCACCAGCCAGAACCGCCCCACCAUGGGCGAGUGCUCCUGCACCGCGUCCAGCAGCGAGCUCAGGAAGCCCCACUCGCCCAUGGCCGCGCUGUGGGAGCGGGGUCGGCGCUGAGGGGGAUGCCGUGGCCACGGGGAUGGACCCCCCCCUGCAGUGGGCAACACGGCCCCCCCCCACUCCAGCUCACCCUCCUCCGUGCCAAACCCAUCACCGGUGGCAGGAGGGUGCCCCGGCAGUGCCAGCCCAGAGCACCCCAUCACCCCAGAGCAUCCCCAGGUGUCUGCUGUCCCC
This 1216-nucleotide long non-coding RNA is filed under the name Calidris pygmaea (Spoon-billed sandpiper). Its description in RNAcentral is "lncRNA (ENSCPGG00000009289.1)". Lineage: Eukaryota; Metazoa; Chordata; Aves; Charadriiformes; Scolopacidae. The record is from RNAcentral.